This 450-nucleotide ribosomal RNA is filed under the name uncultured bacterium. RNAcentral's name for it is "partial 16S ribosomal RNA". It matches the Rfam family "Bacterial small subunit ribosomal RNA", at positions 354 to 796 of the family's 1533-position model. The record is from RNAcentral.
GUGGGGAAUUUUGGACAAUGGGCGCAAGCCUGAUCCAGCAAUGCCGCGUGCAGGAAGAAGGCCUUCGGGUUGUAAACUGCUUUUGUACGGAACGAAAAGGCUCUGGCUAAUACCUGGAGCUCAUGACGGUACCGUAAGAAUAAGCACCGGCUAACUACGUGCCAGCAGCCGCGGUAAUACGUAGGGUGCGAGCGUUAAUCGGAAUUACUGGGCGUAAAGCGUGCGCAGGCGGUGCUGUAAGACAGGCGUGAAAUCCCCGGGCUCAACCUGGGAGUUGCGCUUGUGACUGCAGCGCUGGAGUGCGGCAGAGGGGGAUGGAAUUCCGCGUGUAGCAGUGAAAUGCGUAGAUAUGCGGAGGAACACCGAUGGCGAAGGCAAUCCCCUGGGCCUGCACUGACGCUCAUGCACGAAAGCGUGGGGAGCAAACAGGAUUAGAAACCCGUGUAGUCC